This 66-nucleotide transfer RNA is filed under the name Ovis aries (sheep). It matches the Rfam family "tRNA". From Rfam's summary of the family: Transfer RNA (tRNA) molecules are approximately 80 nucleotides in length. Their secondary structure includes four short double-helical elements and three loops (D, anti-codon, and T loops). Lineage: Eukaryota; Metazoa; Chordata; Mammalia; Artiodactyla; Bovidae. The record is from Rfam by way of RNAcentral.
ACCCAGGUGGCUCAGUGGUAAAGAAUCUGCCUGCUAAGCAGGAGACAUGGGUUGGAUCCCUGGGUG